This 2925-nucleotide ribosomal RNA is filed under the name Escherichia coli. Its description in RNAcentral is "23S ribosomal RNA". It matches the Rfam family "Bacterial large subunit ribosomal RNA". Lineage: Bacteria; Pseudomonadati; Pseudomonadota; Gammaproteobacteria; Enterobacterales; Enterobacteriaceae. The record is from RNAcentral.
GGGUUGUGAGGUUAAGCGACUAAGCGUACACGGUGGAUGCCCUGGCAGUCAGAGGCGAUGAAGGACGUGCUAAUCUGCGAUAAGCGUCGGUAAGGUGAUAUGAACCGUUAUAACCGGCGAUUUCCGAAUGGGGAAACCCAGUGUGAUUCGUCACACUAUCAUUAACUGAAUCCAUAGGUUAAUGAGGCGAACCGGGGGAACUGAAACAUCUAAGUACCCCGAGGAAAAGAAAUCAACCGAGAUUCCCCCAGUAGCGGCGAGCGAACGGGGAGCAGCCCAGAGCCUGAAUCAGUGUGUGUGUUAGUGGAAGCGUCUGGAAAGGCGCGCGAUACAGGGUGACAGCCCCGUACACAAAAAUGCACAUGCUGUGAGCUCGAUGAGUAGGGCGGGACACGUGGUAUCCUGUCUGAAUAUGGGGGGACCAUCCUCCAAGGCUAAAUACUCCUGACUGACCGAUAGUGAACCAGUACCGUGAGGGAAAGGCGAAAAGAACCCCGGCGAGGGGAGUGAAAAAGAACCUGAAACCGUGUACGUACAAGCAGUGGGAGCACGCUUAGGCGUGUGACUGCGUACCUUUUGUAUAAUGGGUCAGCGACUUAUAUUCUGUAGCAAGGUUAACCGAAUAGGGGAGCCGAAGGGAAACCGAGUCUUAACUGGGCGUUAAGUUGCAGGGUAUAGACCCGAAACCCGGUGAUCUAGCCAUGGGCAGGUUGAAGGUUGGGUAACACUAACUGGAGGACCGAACCGACUAAUGUUGAAAAAUUAGCGGAUGACUUGUGGCUGGGGGUGAAAGGCCAAUCAAACCGGGAGAUAGCUGGUUCUCCCCGAAAGCUAUUUAGGUAGCGCCUCGUGAAUUCAUCUCCGGGGGUAGAGCACUGUUUCGGCAAGGGGGUCAUCCCGACUUACCAACCCGAUGCAAACUGCGAAUACCGGAGAAUGUUAUCACGGGAGACACACGGCGGGUGCUAACGUCCGUCGUGAAGAGGGAAACAACCCAGACCGCCAGCUAAGGUCCCAAAGUCAUGGUUAAGUGGGAAACGAUGUGGGAAGGCCCAGACAGCCAGGAUGUUGGCUUAGAAGCAGCCAUCAUUUAAAGAAAGCGUAAUAGCUCACUGGUCGAGUCGGCCUGCGCGGAAGAUGUAACGGGGCUAAACCAUGCACCGAAGCUGCGGCAGCGACGCUUAUGCGUUGUUGGGUAGGGGAGCGUUCUGUAAGCCUGUGAAGGUGUGCUGUGAGGUAUGCUGGAGGUAUCAGAAGUGCGAAUGCUGACAUAAGUAACGAUAAAGCGGGUGAAAAGCCCGCUCGCCGGAAGACCAAGGGUUCCUGUCCAACGUUAAUCGGGGCAGGGUGAGUCGACCCCUAAGGCGAGGCCGAAAGGCGUAGUCGAUGGGAAACAGGUUAAUAUUCCUGUACUUGGUGUUACUGCGAAGGGGGGACGGAGAAGGCUAUGUUGGCCGGGCGACGGUUGUCCCGGUUUAAGCGUGUAGGCUGGUUUUCCAGGCAAAUCCGGAAAAUCAAGGCUGAGGCGUGAUGACGAGGCACUACGGUGCUGAAGCAACAAAUGCCCUGCUUCCAGGAAAAGCCUCUAAGCAUCAGGUAACAUCAAAUCGUACCCCAAACCGACACAGGUGGUCAGGUAGAGAAUACCAAGGCGCUUGAGAGAACUCGGGUGAAGGAACUAGGCAAAAUGGUGCCGUAACUUCGGGAGAAGGCACGCUGAUAUGUAGGUGAAGUCCCUCGCGGAUGGAGCUGAAAUCAGUCGAAGAUACCAGCUGGCUGCAACUGUUUAUUAAAAACACAGCACUGUGCAAACACGAAAGUGGACGUAUACGGUGUGACGCCUGCCCGGUGCCGGAAGGUUAAUUGAUGGGGUCAGCGCAAGCGAAGCUCUUGAUCGAAGCCCCGGUAAACGGCGGCCGUAACUAUAACGGUCCUAAGGUAGCGAAAUUCCUUGUCGGGUAAGUUCCGACCUGCACGAAUGGCGUAAUGAUGGCCAGGCUGUCUCCACCCGAGACUCAGUGAAAUUGAACUCGCUGUGAAGAUGCAGUGUACCCGCGGCAAGACGGAAAGACCCCGUGAACCUUUACUAUAGCUUGACACUGAACAUUGAGCCUUGAUGUGUAGGAUAGGUGGGAGGCUUUGAAGUGUGGACGCCAGUCUGCAUGGAGCCGACCUUGAAAUACCACCCUUUAAUGUUUGAUGUUCUAACGUUGACCCGUAAUCCGGGUUGCGGACAGUGUCUGGUGGGUAGUUUGACUGGGGCGGUCUCCUCCUAAAGAGUAACGGAGGAGCACGAAGGUUGGCUAAUCCUGGUCGGACAUCAGGAGGUUAGUGCAAUGGCAUAAGCCAGCUUGACUGCGAGCGUGACGGCGCGAGCAGGUGCGAAAGCAGGUCAUAGUGAUCCGGUGGUUCUGAAUGGAAGGGCCAUCGCUCAACGGAUAAAAGGUACUCCGGGGAUAACAGGCUGAUACCGCCCAAGAGUUCAUAUCGACGGCGGUGUUUGGCACCUCGAUGUCGGCUCAUCACAUCCUGGGGCUGAAGUAGGUCCCAAGGGUAUGGCUGUUCGCCAUUUAAAGUGGUACGCGAGCUGGGUUUAGAACGUCGUGAGACAGUUCGGUCCCUAUCUGCCGUGGGCGCUGGAGAACUGAGGGGGGCUGCUCCUAGUACGAGAGGACCGGAGUGGACGCAUCACUGGUGUUCGGGUUGUCAUGCCAAUGGCACUGCCCGGUAGCUAAAUGCGGAAGAGAUAAGUGCUGAAAGCAUCUAAGCACGAAACUUGCCCCGAGAUGAGUUCUCCCUGACUCCUUGAGAGUCCUGAAGGAACGUUGAAGACGACGACGUUGAUAGGCCGGGUGUGUAAGCGCAGCGAUGCGUUGAGCUAACCGGUACUAAUGAACCGUGAGGCUUAACCUUACAACGCCGAAG